AUGUCAGCUCUAACAAUGUACUUUGUUUUCUUCUCACAGGGCAAUCGAGUGCACAGAGAAAUGAAACCUGCACGUCGAAAAGAAACCUGUGGCCAGGGACAAGGCGUCCAAGCGACGUCGCACUUCCUACAAUGUGUGGGAUUGCCAUCGGCCGACACGGGGAGAGACCACAUACGGCGGCUGAAAGGAAUUAUCGAGGCAACAAUGGACGUGUACGCCUUCUUGAGGUCCAGCAUGACAGGAGUGCCACUUCUCAGUCUGCAAGGGGCACUGGACUUUAAACCCGGUGCAGACCCCCUCCACAAUGAAGCCCUGGUCCAGAUGUGGGUGGAGGUGAAGAUAAAGCCGCUGCUGAAAUCCAUCACCAAGCGCUUCCUGUCCUGCCUCAGCACCAAGAACUUCACGUGCUCCACCUACCAGACUGUGUGCGUCUCUUUCCGUCUCUGUCCACACGUGUGCCGCGGUGACCACAUGCAGCUUCUCACCCUCCUCUCUUUCCUCCCCCAGGGUGAGGGAGCUCAGUCGGCAUUAUUCUGGGAUGGAUCCAGUCAGGCAAAAGUGGAUCUACACAUUCUUUAUGUACCCCUUCCUGUCUGGAGACAGGGUAGCUGGUUGUGUGCACCCAAACGAGAGCGGUGA
Molecule: long non-coding RNA, 639 nt
Filed under: Scophthalmus maximus (turbot)
Lineage: Eukaryota; Metazoa; Chordata; Actinopteri; Pleuronectiformes; Scophthalmidae
Description: lncRNA (ENSSMAG00000030353.1)
Source: RNAcentral